CGUGGCCAUGAGUCAGAGGGUGAGGGGGCUGGGAUUGUCGGCGCGCAGGGCAGUCUGCACGCCUGCGCGGAGGGUGGCUAAUGGCCGCUGCGUAUUUGUAGGACUUUGCAGUCAGUUUACACCCGAGUGUGACUGCGUUGGUGUUUGGUACUAGUAUUUCAAGGAAAUCCCCUCUUCUGGUUGAAAUCCCAGUUCUGUGGCGCGAGUCCCCGGACCGGCAGCACCAGCAGCACCUGGGUAAUAGAGAAAUGCAAACUAUCGGAUCCUGCUAGAGAUCUAGCGGGUCAGAAUCCGGGAGGCGGGCCCAGUAGUUUACAGACUACUUCAGGUGAUUGGCUGCACGCUGGAGUUUGGGACUGCUUUGAAGUGUCGCGUUUCCCUUAGUUCCGAUGCUGGGGGUGACUCCGCCAAUGGCAGCUGAGCUAAACCAGGCCGUUUACCUUCCACAGGGCUUAGGUCUUACCCACUCCGACUUGGACGCCGGAGGAUAAAGGGAAAAAUAAAUUGUAUGUCUGGAAAGGCGAGAUCUAGGAGAAGGAUUGGACUCGACAUUGAAUGCAGAAUUCUAUGUCUCCAGAUUUUAUUACUCAUAACAUCUCGUCUACAGACGUGUGGCCCUCACUUAGACUUCUCCAAUCAAAGUCUUCUUUCCUGCAGCCAGGGUUUGGAAGGCAGUUGGGAGUAUAAGUCAAGGAGGAGACUGCUGAAGCCGCUCAUCUGAAUAAAGUACAAAAAACAGCCUUCAGGAAGAAUGUUCCUGGGUGGCUCAGUUGGUUAAGCAACACCUUCCAUCGGGGUCAUGAUCCUUCAGUCCCUGCAUCAGGCUCCCAGCUUCAUAGGGAGUCUGCUUCUCUCUUUGACCUUCUCUUCUCAUAUCCUCUCUCUCAAAAAAAAUAAAAAAAUAAAAAAAAAAUAAAAAAAAAUGCUUGGUAUAAAACUUUUGGGUUCACAGUCGAUCUAAAUAGCCAAAACUAUGGAACAGAACCAUCAAAAAAGCAUAUAGUUGGAGAAUUCAAGUUAUGGUCAAUGACAGAUAUCUAAUUCAUAAAAAUGUAGAUUUUUUUAGGACUAUGUGUGUAGUAAAGCACUAACGUUUUCCAAAGGAAGGUAUGGCCUUUGCUUUUUGCUGGGAGGUGAUGUCUGGGCUCUUGGAAUGUCCUGCAGCACGAGAAUAUCUGUUUAGGAAGAGGCCUUGGGCUGCAUGGGAGAGUGUAAUAACGUCCUUUAUGUUGCAAGCUUUGGGCCUGUUCAUGUGCCUCUUACCUUGGCUUAUAAAAACAAACAAAC
Molecule: long non-coding RNA, 1287 nt
Filed under: Mustela putorius furo (domestic ferret)
Lineage: Eukaryota; Metazoa; Chordata; Mammalia; Carnivora; Mustelidae
Description: lncRNA (ENSMPUG00000031124.1)
Source: RNAcentral